Apodemus sylvaticus (European woodmouse) is the source of this 502-nucleotide long non-coding RNA. RefSeq lists it as uncharacterized. The transcript is spliced from 3 exons. The record is from RefSeq and is a predicted model, not a curated record. NCBI's taxonomy places the organism in Eukaryota, Metazoa, Chordata, Mammalia, Rodentia, Muridae.
UAGAAAGGCAGGGUUAGGUGACUGACCCAGGAAUGCAGAAAGCAGUUGUCCCCACGCGUGUCCCUGAAGGCUAGGACCGAGAUAGAUGGUGAGCUGGGAGGAGGCUAUCCAUCACAAGCGAGCAAGAUGGAAAUCCCCCGCUGAUCCUGCCAACCGGAGUCAGGAGGGGUGGCUUCCAACCAUACUUCCGGGGCUGCAGAAACCACCAGUCAGGGAACCUGAGGUCUGGAGAUCAUCAGGCAGAUGAACCUCCCUCAAUCCUCAUGUCUUCUCAGCCAAUGGACUCCAGCCUCAAGACUCUCCAGAAGUAUCUUGUGUGUGUGUGUGUGUGUGUGCAAACAGCAAGUUUACUUAUUUAUUUUUGAUAAGGAAAUAACAACAGAAUGGUGCCAAGUAAGGUACAAUUGAAACAUUUGCUGAUGGAAACUGUCCUUGAAAAAUCAGAUUGUUGUCACAGUUACUGAUUGUCGGCUUAAAAAAAAAAAAUGAAAUCCUAAGUUUG